AGUGAAUGCUGGCGGUAGGCAUAACACAUGCAAGUCGAACGAGUGGCGGACAGGUGAGGAAUACAUUGGAAUCUACUCUGUCGUGAGAGAUAAAGUCGGCAAACUUACGCUGAUACACCAUCCGAUUGAAUCGGCCUAUGUCGGAUUAGCUAGUUGGCGGGGUAAAAGCCAACCAAGGGGACGCUCCGUGGCGGGUGUGAGAGGAUGAUCACCCACACUGGAACUGAGACAAGGUCCAGACUCCUACGGGCGGCGGCAGUGGGUACUAUUGGACGAUGGGCGCAAGUCUGAUCCAGCCAUGCCGCGUGUGAUCAGAAGGCCGUCGGGUUGUAAAGCCCUUUUGUUGGGUAAGCGGUAGCCACAGAAUAAGCACCGGCUAACUUCGUGCCAGCAGCCGCGGUAAUUC
RNAcentral lists this ribosomal RNA (406 nucleotides) under uncultured bacterium. Its description in RNAcentral is "partial 16S ribosomal RNA". It matches the Rfam family "Bacterial small subunit ribosomal RNA", at positions 29 to 526 of the family's 1533-position model. The record is from RNAcentral.